UACAUGGGGUGCAAACGUUGCUCGGAAUUAUUGGGCGUAAAGCGCGCGUAGGCGGUUACUUAAGUCGGAUGUGAAAGCCCUCGGCUUAACUGAGGAAGUGCACCCGAAACUGAGUAGCUAGAGUACGAAAGAGGGUCGCGGAAUUCCCGGUGUAGAGGUGAAAUUCGUAGAUAUCGGGAGGAACACCGGUGGCGAAGGCGGCAUCCUGGACCGGCAUUGACGCUGAGUGAGCGAAAGCCAGGGGAGCAAACGGG
This 254-nucleotide ribosomal RNA is filed under the name uncultured bacterium. RNAcentral's name for it is "partial 16S ribosomal RNA". It matches the Rfam family "Bacterial small subunit ribosomal RNA", at positions 524 to 776 of the family's 1533-position model. The record is from RNAcentral.